CGUGCUGCUUAUGGCGGCGCUGGAGAGGGGGCGCUGAGCUGUUGGGUAUGAAGUGUAACAGAACAGACUUUACCACCUGAAACUGCUGCUUCAAGUUCAGAUCAGGCAAGGAACAAACCUCGUAACAACUAACAAGACCAAAGAAGAGUACACUUAAGUUGAAGACACAACACUUGAUCUGAAACAAGAAGUUUGUGCCUACUCAACAGCUUUGAAAGAGCACUUCCCAACGCUGCUAGUAGUCUUUGUUUUCUUCAGUGCUGUACUGUGAGAUUGCCCGGUACAGCAGCAGUUGUAUUCUUUAUUAGCUUGGUAGAUCAUUUUCUCUCGCUCUUUUUUUUAAUACUAGCAACUUUCAUCCUUUGAAACGUGUGCUGAAAAAGAAGAAUCAGCAAAUACUACUGAAAGUGCAAUAUUUGAGUAUCACUGCGAGAUGAGCUUUGAUCCAAACCUUCUCCACAACAAUGGACAUAAUGGGUACCCUAAUGGUACUUCAGCAGCACUGCGUGAAACUGGGGUUAUUGAAAAACUGUUAACCUCUUACGGAUUUAUUCAGUGUUCAGAACGUCAAGCUAGACUUUUCUUCCACUGUUCACAGUAUAAUGGCAACCUGCAAGACUUAAAAGUAGGAGGUAAUCUGUCAGUUCUCCUUUGUAAAAAUGUAAUCACAAAAUUUGUCUUGCAUAUCAAUUUGUUCAUGAGUGUUUUUCAAAAAGUUUUAUGUAAAUUAAAACAUUUUGGACUUUUAGUUGUACUGUUUAGUGAAGAAUAUCUGUAUAAACCAGCAGAAUCCUUGAAAGAUUAUAUUUGCAUAUAUUUACAAUAAAUGCUUGGAAGAUU
This 840-nucleotide long non-coding RNA is filed under the name Homo sapiens (human). RNAcentral describes it as "long non-coding RNA NONHSAT152133.1". Lineage: Eukaryota; Metazoa; Chordata; Mammalia; Primates; Hominidae. The record is from RNAcentral.